Molecule: ribosomal RNA, 253 nt
Filed under: uncultured Lactobacillus sp.
Lineage: Bacteria; Bacillati; Bacillota; Bacilli; Lactobacillales; Lactobacillaceae
Description: partial 16S ribosomal RNA
Rfam family: Bacterial small subunit ribosomal RNA
Source: RNAcentral
UACGUAGGUGGCGAGCGUUAUCCGGAAUGAUUGGGCGUAAAGGGUGCGUAGGCGGCCUGCUAAGUCUGGAGUGAAAGCCCCCGGCUUAACCGAGGAAUUGCAUCGGAAACUGUGUUUCUUGAGUGCAGAAGAGGAGAGUGGAACUCCAUGUGUAGCGGUGGAAUGCGUAGAUAUAUGGAAGAACACCAGUGGCGAAGGCGGCUCUCUGGUCUGUAACUGACGCUGAGGCUCGAAAGCAUGGGUAGCGAACAGG